RNAcentral lists this ribosomal RNA (639 nucleotides) under Triticum aestivum (bread wheat). RNAcentral describes it as "partial small subunit ribosomal RNA". Lineage: Eukaryota; Viridiplantae; Streptophyta; Magnoliopsida; Poales; Poaceae. The record is from RNAcentral.
AUGGCAGAUGCACCUCUUUACAAGAAGCUUCGCAAGUACACCAGGGAGCUCCACGACGUCGACCUCCACAUCAACCACAAGCUCCACGUCGUUUGCACAAGCAAUGGUGAAGACGUGGACAAGAUGUUGUCCACACUCAGGAGGAAGCUCGGCGGAAUGCCCGUUAAACUAGUCGGCGUUGAUGUCGAAUACACGCACUACGUGAAGCCACAGCGGGCAGCAGUGCUCCAGCUAUGCGUAGAAAAAGAAUGCCUUGUCUACCACAUCUCUGCAGCUAAAGAUAGGGGACAAAAGCAAGCUGGUUUCGAGAUCAACUCCGACAACUACAUUGAUAUUCAGGUGGAAUGGAGAGACCCAUACAAUAAAAAGAAGUUUGACUCUUUGGCUGAUGUUGCUGGCAGGAUGAUAGACAUUCACUACCAUGACAUGAAGAAAAAAAUUAACCGCAAGGAGGACCAUACUCUGUGGGGAUUCUGCCCACUGCCAGAAAAGCUUAUCAAGUAUGCAGCAAUAGAUGCAUUCGCAACAUAUGAGUCAUGGAAAAUCAUCUACGAUGUCAUCAUGGGACUGGACAGGGCAAAAAGAGACAAAGAAGCAAAGCAGAAGAAGAACAAGGCUGUAAUCCAAUACAACAACUAG